CGCAGCGCUGCCUGGAGGGGCGGCCGCGGCCAUUUUUGUGCCCUGCUGGGGAGCGCAGUUGGAAGGGGACCUUGUUUCCAGACCAGGAGUGAUGUGGACUCUUGGGUUUGUGGGACAGCUGGCCAAAGGCAGGAAAAUCUGAGCUGGUCCCAUGGAGCUGGUUCACAGCCUACGUAUCUGGACAGAGCUUGUCAGGUCUUAGAGCCUUUUCCCCAUCAUCCCACAGCCAGAAGCCAUCCGGCAUCAAGCAGUCAGAAGAAUCUGGCCAUUUUACUUUGAGUCACAGAAUCAACCUCUGGGCCUUAGGCGGGAAGGAUGCCUCUAGUGAAUUCUGACUCCUGUGUCUUGCAUCCCAAGUUACUUCUUGUAGGAAAUCCAUCAUGAGAAACCCCAUGGGAAAGAGAAAAUUCCUCGCAGAAACUACCAGCGGUAGGUAAUGUGAAGAUGCUUUCCCUGAACAAAGAUGGCUGCUCCAGAGGGGAUCUUCUUUCAGAGCUGGAGCUUAAAGUGGAGGUUUUACAACACUGGACCCAAUCUCAGCAGCAGCAGCACUGUGCUAUAAGCCAAAGGAAGACUGCGGAGAUCUUCUCCAGUUCCCUCAUGUCCUCUCUUCUCAAACCCACGUAAUACUGCAUAGCCACUCUGAAAGAGCAGCCCAGCAUCCUGCAAGACUGUGUAAUUCCCAGCUGACCCUGCUUGGCAAACCACUCCCUGUGGGCUAUGAGGGCCAUAUUGAGGAUGCGUGGCUACAUUUGGAUGGCUCACAGAAUUUGUUUUGCUGCCAUGUAUUUCAAAGAAGUGCCACAGCCUACUGAAGUGGAACUGCUGCCAGCAUGGGACCAAGUUAGACUCCACCUGGUCAGGUGCUGAGGUGUUGGCUGAGCUGCUGGUAGGAAAGGCUGCUUUUGCUGAAAGAACUGGGAGUUAACUGGAGAUCUCCCAUGCACUUAGCAAAGGAUAAUUUAACCUCUGUGUCCUUGCAAGGAGGAAACUUGCAAGUGCGAACACUGAGACAUGCAGAGCUGUUACGCUCUGCUGACUUGGAACUGCAUUGAUCAGUUUGUACUAGCUGCAGAUCUGGUGAGGAAACUUUAAGUACAGCAGAUUGAUUGCUACCAAGGGACAAAUUCCCCAUAGCUAGUUGGAUUCAAGCUCUAAAGUAGUGGCAUAUUGAUCUCUUUGUGGUGAUUUAUUAGUAGUAGCCCUGUACCCCAAACUCUCCAGCACAGUUAUAUGAGUCAAAAAGUAUACUAUUGCUAGCUUAACUCAUUAUUUGUCAGAGUACUGCACAACCUCUACAUAAAGCCCCACACUGCCAGGGCAGCCCACAGUGGGGCUGGAGGAAGCAGAGAGGCACUUAAUGAUCACAAGGCAGCCACCAUAUCUUCAGUCCAUGGACUCCAAAUGGGCCCUCUGCCCUUUGUCAUGCACUGUUUGGUGUCCCCCUGGCUGAGGAAUGCUGCCCUCUGCACAAGGCUGCAGGGGUAAGGAUCCCAUCCCCUAAUCUGACUUGUUCAGGAGGGAGAACAGGAUGUUGGAAGAGCAGAGCUCUCACUGAAAGACUGAACCACAGAUCUGUGCAUUGUGAAUGCUUUGCCGUGGACAUGCCCCUGCUGUGAACCCCAUCCAUAAACUGUGCUUGUCUUGGAGACAGUUCCAGAGAGUUAUAAGGGUUUUAUUCAGCUGCCCAAAUGGGAAGAGCUGAGAAAGCCUAUGACCAUCCUGCCACCCAAGAUGUUCUGCCACCUCUGGGCUCUGCUUGACUUUUACUACAUAUUUUUCCUUUAAUUUUCCCUAAUUUUCUAUUUCAUUUUGCUGAAGUGAAUACGUUUCUGAUGCCUGAAGCAGCUGCUGAUGUAUUAAGCUCAAGAAAAGCUGAGAUGUUUUAGGUUGAUUUUUCUCCCCUGUCUCCGUCAGAGCUCUCCAGACCUGAAGAAGGCAGGAAAGACAAAUACGUGCUGGCUCUUUACCCACCACAGUCUGGUGAUAGUAUGAAGGGAAAUCUUUGGCAGUUGAAGUUAAUAGCCAAGAUAUGCGUGGUUGAAAAAGUAGCAAGCAUCUGCUCCAGGGAUUAACCUGCAGCAGAAUUUGGAUAGUGGGGACGCUGGAGUGUUAAAUCAUCCCCACGUGAAUCAUUGCUGUUCAGCUGGCAGCAGCCUCAGGCACACACCGUGCAUCAGCUGCAAGUGGCACACAUUUGUAUUACUUUAUUUGCAACUAAUGAAAUAGCUAGGAACAUUUAUUGCAUAUAAAUUAUAUAUGAGCACCCAUCGUACAAAUAAACUCUCUCCAGUCUCAGCUUUCCA
Molecule: non-coding RNA, 2306 nt
Organism: Coturnix japonica (Japanese quail)
Lineage: Eukaryota; Metazoa; Chordata; Aves; Galliformes; Phasianidae
Source: RefSeq, a predicted model, not a curated record